Molecule: ribosomal RNA, 242 nt
Filed under: uncultured anaerobic ammonium-oxidizing bacterium
Lineage: Bacteria
Description: partial 16S ribosomal RNA
Rfam family: Bacterial small subunit ribosomal RNA
Source: RNAcentral
AGUUAGGAAAUGUAGGUGCGAUAAUACCGUGCCUAUUUGACAAAGGCUCCAAAGGAAGCCACGGCUAACUCUGUGCCAGCAGCCGCGGUAAUACAGAGGUGGCAAGCGUUGUUCGGAAUUAUUGGGCGUAAAGAGCACGUAGGUGGAUUUGUUAGUCAGAUGUGAAAGCCUUUCGUUCAACGGAAGAAUUGCAUCUGAAACUACAAACCUUGAGUAUAGGAGGGGAGAGUGGAACUUCUGGU